RNAcentral lists this ribosomal RNA (736 nucleotides) under Omnitrophica bacterium RIFCSPLOWO2_01_FULL_45_10b. RNAcentral's name for it is "bacterial SSU rRNA". It matches the Rfam family "Bacterial small subunit ribosomal RNA", at positions 8 to 720 of the family's 1533-position model. The record is from RNAcentral. Lineage: Bacteria; Pseudomonadati; Candidatus Omnitrophota.
GGAGAGUUUGAUCCUGGCUCAGAACGAACGCUGGCGGCGUGGAUUAGGCAUGCAAGUCGAACGGAAUUUCUAGCUUUUUCGGAAAUUCAGUGGCGAAAGGGUGAGUAACACGUGGGUAAUCUACCUAGAAGAUUGGGAUAACCUGUCGAAAGACGGGCUAAUACCGAAUGAGACCACGAUUUCUUCGGAAAUUGAGGUCAAAGAUGGGGACCGUAAGGCCUAUCGCUUUUAGAGGAGCCCGCGUCCUAUCAGCUAGUUGGUGAGGUAAUGGCUCACCAAGGCAAUGACGGGUAGCUGGCCUGAGAGGGUGGUCAGCCACAUCGGGACUGAGAUACUGCCCGGACUCCUACGGGAGGCUGCAGUCGAGAAUCUUUCGCAAUGGGGGAAACCCUGACGAAGCGACGCCGCGUGCAGGAUGAAGGCCUUCGGGUCGUAAACUGCUGUCAAUUGGGACGAAUGAUAGCGAAGUGAACAACUUUUCUAUUUGACGGUACCAGUAAAGGAAGCCACGGCUAACUCUGUGCCAGCAGCCGCGGUAAGACAGAGGUGGCUAGCGUUGUUCGGAUUCAUUGGGUGUAAAGGGUGCGUAGGCGGUUUGGAAAGUCAGAUGUGAAAGCCCACAGCUCAACUGUGGAAAUGCAUCUGAAACUUCCAGACUCGAGUGCGAGAGAGGUAAAGGGAAUUCCCGGUGUAAGGGUGAAAUCUGCAGAGAUCGGGAGGAACACCAGUAGCGAAG